CAUCUUUGAGGCCAUGAAGUUGCUGGAUGGUUGCUCAUUGCUUGUGCUGCUUCAAUGCCAGGUCGCACUCAGCAAAGCCCAGGGACAAGAGAAGAGGAAGGACUCAAAGGAGCCAAGGCAGACAGUGAAAAAUCAGCAAGGAGCUCUCCAAGUAACAAACCACAGCAUCAACAUGCAGCACUCUGCAGACUAAUGGGAGUCACACUGGAAUUGGCAUCGUGUGCUGAAGUCUCAACAGAUGGAGAGGGUGGUCAUGAUGGAGGAGUGGGACAACAAACCUCCCUUUGCACUUCUGCCCCCAAUGACACACUUCACCCCCAUCUCAGCUCACCCAUCUGUUAAAUCCAUGAAAAAUACUUCCUAAAAUAUGGAUUUACCCAGAGGGCAAGCUGGCUAUGGGCACAGAGCAGGGUGGCAGAGGCCUUGAGGGGGCUGAGAGCUUUGGAUUUUUUAAAUGAGGUUCAGAUGAGAGGGGAUAGAAGGAUCCGGGGGAUUGCAUCUCACUCUGCACUACAGCAAUGGGAUCCUCACUGUUUGCACCCCCUGAGCAUUCAGGCCUGCCCAGGACUCUCAAAUCUCUGUUUUGUUGUACAUUGCAGCAGAGACAGCCUGAGGGUUGAGCUGCAUCCUGGAGGCAGAGGGCUGCUGCCAGCUCUGCCCUGGAGCAUCCUCUUCUUGGAUUGCUGAUUCACACCAAAAAAAUCAACCAAUUUUCCUUCCAGCCUGAUUCAGUUACUGUCACUGGCUCCUUCUUUUCCUUAUUAAUGUCCCUAGGAAGUGAAAACCUUGUAAUUACAAUCAGGUCUCUUGCUACCCCCAAGUUGCUGUUCUGAACUCCUCCUCCUCUUUAUUGAGGAGCAUUUACACCCAUAGCUAUGUUUUGGCAAGCUGGAGGGGUUUCUGACACUUGGAAAUGAGAGCUUUAUAAAAUGUACCACACGUCAACACCUCCUGUUUUAUAAAACGAGGAUUAUUAGUUACAAAUCAGGUCAAAUGAAAAAGAAAAAAAAAGUGAGAAAUAGCAAAGUCUUCAGAGGAGUAUAAAUAGCCAGUGGAAAUUGGUAGUGCAGCCUGGUGUAACACAGCCAUUCCAGGCAGGCUCAAUUAUUUCUCCAGCUGCUCUGAAAUCCCCCUCACUUUGCUACCUAUUAGGAGCAUUUGCCCUAUUUAUAGGAGACAUUGUAGCAGUGAAACUCUGGAUGAGAUUGGACGUGGAUGCUCCUGGAAAAUCCUCCCUGUGUCAGCUGCAGCUGGCAGUGCAAACCUGGUGCCUCAGCACUGCUCGGGGUCACCUGCCUGUGGACAGGAGCAUCUCACCUGCUUAAAACUGUCAAAUCACUGA
Molecule: long non-coding RNA, 1342 nt
Filed under: Zonotrichia albicollis (white-throated sparrow)
Lineage: Eukaryota; Metazoa; Chordata; Aves; Passeriformes; Passerellidae
Description: lncRNA (ENSZALG00000001653.1)
Source: RNAcentral